UAGUCCACGCCGUAAACGAUGGUUACUAGCUGUUUGGACUAAUUGAGGUCUAAGUGGCCAAGCGAAAGUGAUAAGUAACCCACCUGGGGAGUACGUUCGCAAGAAUGAAACUCAAAGGAAUUGACGGGGGCCCGCACAAGCGGUGGAGCAUGUGGUUUAAUUCGAUGAUACGCGAGGAACCUUACCAGGGCUUAAAUGCAGUAUGACAGAUUUGGAAACAGAUUUUUCUUCGGACAUAUUGCAAGGUGCUGCAUGGUUGUCGUCAGCUCGUGCCGUGAGGUGUCAGGUUAAGUCCUAUAACGAGCGCAACCCCUGUUGUUAGUUACCAGCACGUAGUGGUGGGGACUCUAACAAGACUGCCGGUGCAAACCGUGAGGAAGGUGGGGAUGACGUCAAAUCAUCACGGCCCUUACGUCCUGGGCUACACACGUGCUACAAUGGUAGGUACAGCGAGCAGCCACUACGCAAGUAGGAGCGAAUCUACAAAACCUAUCUCAGUUCGGAUCGGAGUCUGCAA
This 517-nucleotide ribosomal RNA is filed under the name uncultured bacterium. RNAcentral's name for it is "bacterial SSU rRNA". It matches the Rfam family "Bacterial small subunit ribosomal RNA", at positions 791 to 1310 of the family's 1533-position model. The record is from RNAcentral.